Lathyrus oleraceus (garden pea) is the source of this 80-nucleotide non-coding RNA. NCBI's taxonomy places the organism in Eukaryota, Viridiplantae, Streptophyta, Magnoliopsida, Fabales, Fabaceae. The record is from the annotation of a RefSeq genome assembly.
GACAGUUUGGCCGAGUGGUCUAAGGCGCUAGAAUCAGGCUCUAGUCCGUAAGGGCAUGGGUUCAAAUCCCAUAGCUGUCA